GGACAUGGGGGAACCCUGAUCCAGCGACGCCGCGUGUGUGAAGAAGGCCUGCGGGUUGUAAAGCACUUUUAGUGGGGAUGAGAAGCUCAGGGCUAAUACCUCUGGGUCUUGACCUAACCCACAGAAAAAGCACCGGCUAACUCUGUGCCAGCAGCCGCGGUAAUACAGAGGGUGCAAGCGUUAAUCGGAAUUACUGGGCGUAAAGCGUGCGUAGACGGUUAUGUAAGUCGGGUGUGAAAGCCCCGGGCUCAACCUGGGAAUGCCAUUCGAGACUGCAUAGCUAGGGUACGGAAGAGGGAAGCGGAAUUUCAGGUGUAGCNGGUGAAAUGCGUAGAUAUCUGAAGGAACACCAGUGGCGAAAGCGGCUUCCUGGUCCAGUACCGACGUUCAGGCACGAAAGCGUGGGGAGCAAACAGGAUUAGAUACCCUGGUAGUCCACGCCAUAAACGAUGAGAACUAGUUGUUGGAGGAGUUAAAUCCUUUAGUAACGCAGCUAACGCGUGAAGUCAUCCGCCUGGGGAGUACGGUCGCAAGAUUAAAACUCAAAAAAAUUGACGGA
RNAcentral lists this ribosomal RNA (559 nucleotides) under uncultured bacterium. RNAcentral describes it as "bacterial SSU rRNA". It matches the Rfam family "Bacterial small subunit ribosomal RNA", at positions 366 to 917 of the family's 1533-position model. The record is from RNAcentral.